Molecule: long non-coding RNA, 993 nt
Filed under: Homo sapiens (human)
Lineage: Eukaryota; Metazoa; Chordata; Mammalia; Primates; Hominidae
Description: HSALNT0364899
Source: RNAcentral
GUGUAGUCUAAUUAUUUCCCAAAUGAUAAACAAUGAGCUACCAUUUAGCCAGUGCUUACAAGAGCCAGACUGUCCUGCAUGCUUUAUGUAGCGGGCUUAGCACUUGAAUCGCCUGACUUGACCGCUUACUAGCUAUGUAACCUCAGGGAAAUUUACUUAGUCUCUACAACCUCAGUUUCCUCACCUGUUUGCUGGGGACCACCCCGUUGUGACGGAUUAUUGUCCUGAGGAUGAAUGUGAUACACAGUUCUAAAGCAGGAGCCCACACCAGUUGAGGCUGAUUAGCUACUGCCACAGCUGAAUAUCCAAACUGCCAGCAACAGAGACCAACACUGAGUCCCCAGUAUGGCACCAUACCUUGAGGAGACCAACCAGCCAUUUAAUGACAAGCUGUCUUUGCCAGACUUCUGUCCUGCAAGGAAGAAUGCACUGAUCUAGAGACCAAGACAUGGAAGUAGGAAUGUCCCCACUUACCAAUGCUCUUGCUGAUCUUUUGGGAGACUUUGUACAACUCUUAACCUCUGCAAGGUAUAGACACCCAGGCAUGAGAAGAUCAUGGUGAUGAAGGGCUCAUAACCUUGUUGAUAAGGAUCUGGGUUACACUACCAGGAAGAGAGGCCUGUGGGAAUCCUGGAGGAGCUGCUCCUUGAAAGUAUAUGGGGAAGUGGAUCUAAGUGGCCCCGGGGGAGAACACAGGCAUGUUCUCCCAGACUCCUUCCAGGAAGAACUAGCUCUGAGGCAGAGUACAGUCAGCAGAGAGCUUCCAGCUUUCAGCUCUGCCUCAGCGGCAGAGUCAGCUCGAAUUCCCACCAUUCCUGGGGAUGCCUGCAUUUACCUGGUUGCUGAGUGACACUGAUGGGUAUACUCACUCCAGAGCUCUCUGCCAGGUCGGCUGAGGCUUUAUGGAGCCUAUAUUGCAGUUCAAGUUCUUCCUCCACCCAUCCUACAUCCCCCACACUCCUCUCCCUAAUAAAUAUCUGCACUGCAUAUUCC